This is a long non-coding RNA of Oncorhynchus kisutch (coho salmon), 1694 nucleotides long. RefSeq lists it as uncharacterized. NCBI's taxonomy places the organism in Eukaryota, Metazoa, Chordata, Actinopteri, Salmoniformes, Salmonidae. The transcript is spliced from 3 exons. The record is from RefSeq and is a predicted model, not a curated record.
AUUAACCAGCCAAAUUAGAAGGGUCUAGGAUUCCUUUGUAAGGCGCAGCAAAAAAGACAAUCAGAUACAAUAUCAGGGAUCUCCUGGUAAGGCUUCUGGCUACCAUUAGUUCUGACUACUGAGGUUUUGAUGAGAAAAAUGGCUGUGAGUUUUGAAAUGUCUUUGAGAAUUUCUUGGAUUUGUUGCCUGCUAAUUGGAGGGAUAACCUGUUAUCCUCCACCUAAAGGUAAUUAUAGAUAUAUUCCCCAAAAUCAAGUAAAAGGAACUGGCCACAAUGCAGCGGAAGCUACUGGCUCCCGUGCCUCGACAGGUGAAGCUACCGGCUCCCGUGCCUCAGCAGGUGAAGCAGCCACCCAUAAUGCCUCUGCAAGCGUCACGACUGGCCCAAAUACCUUAGCUGAAGCAACUGGCCACAAUGCUUCAUCAAGCGCCACGACAGUCCCAAAUGCCUUAGGUGAAGCAGCUGGCCACAGUGCCGCGCAAGCGAUCACCCAUAAUGCCUCGGCAAGUAUGGCAACUGGCCCAAAUACCUUAGGUGAAGCAACUGGCCACGGUGCCUCGGCAGCGGAAGCAACUGGACACAGUGCCAUGCAAACGGCCACUCAUAAUGCCUCAGAAGCGGCCAACCACAAUGCCUCUGCAAGCGUCACGACUGGGCCAAAUACCUUGGGUGAAGGAGCCGACUCCCGUGCCUCAGCAGAAGCAGCAACCCAUAAUAUCUCAGCAAGCGUCACGACUGGCCCAAAUACCUUAGCUGAAGCAACUGGCCACAAUGCUUCAUCAAGCGCCACGACUGGCCCAAGUGCCUCAGGUGAAGUAACUGGCCACAGUGCCUCUGCAGAGGAAGCAACUGGCCACAGUGCCACGCAAGCGGCCACCCAUAAUGCCUCUAAGUGUGGCAGCUGGCCCAAAUACCUUAGGUGAAGCAUCUGGCCACAGUGCUUCAUCAAGCACCACGACUGGCCUAAAUACCUUCGGUGAAACAACCGGCCACUUUGCCUCGGCAGAGGAAGCAACCGGCCACGGUACCUCAAGUGCGGAAUCUGGUUCAAAUGCCUCGGCAGAAGCGACAGGCGCCCUUGCCUCGGCAGAAGCGACAGGCGCCCUUGCCUCGGCAGAAGCGACAGGCGCCCUUGCCUCGGCAGAAGCGACAGGCCUUGAACAGGAGGGCCAACUCCUCAAGCAACAUGGAUAUUAGCAGCAGUGAUGUUUCUCAGGAUUUUGGGUAUGAGGGUGACAAUGAAAGCACCCAAUGUGUCAUCUCCAGCAGCGUUCAAAGCAGCAUCGUUGAACAGUCAAUUCUCGUACUAACAUAGUUACAAAUCGGUGUAUGAGAAGGGCAAUACUGUCUACUCCCAAACCUGCCACACCACUGGGUAGGUUAUGCAAACGUCACUACAGUCCGAGAGAUAUCUCUGAACCAAGCAUAUCCCCACCUGCUACGACUACUGGGAUGCAAUGUAAUGUGCAACUUCUACACUCACCUGCACUUUGCGUUCUGAUUUUGAAAUCCGUUGUACUCAUCGUCUAUCAACAGAAUUGCAAUGGUAGAUUCAUCCUUUGGAUGACAAUUCUGAGUUGUUGCUGACACUUUCUUUAAGCUUCCACUGUAUGCUUAUGCGUCGGCCAGGGAGUUGCUGCUGCUCGUUCUACCCUGCAUUACUUGUAAAACAAUAAAAUAUUGUACCUUUUUU